GAUGAACGCUGGCGGCGUGCCUAAUACAUGCAAGUCGAGCGAACGGACGAGAAGCUUGCUUUUCUGAUGUUAGCGGCGGACGGGUGAGUAACACGUGGAUAACCUCCCUAUAAGACGGGGAUAACUUCGGGAAACCGGAGCUAAUCCGGGAUAAUAUUUUGAACCGCAGGGUUCAAAAGUGAAAUACGGUCUUGCUGUCACUUAUCGAUGGAUCCGCGCUGCAUUAGCUAGUUGUUAAGGUAACGGCUUACCACGGCAACGAUGCAUAGCCGACCUGAGAGGGUGAUCGGCCACACUGGAACUUGGACACGGUCCAGACUCCUACGGGAGGCAGCAGUAGGGAAUCUGCCGCAAUGGGCGAAAGCCUGACGGAGCAACGCCGCGUGAGUGAUGAAGGUCUUCGGAUCGUAAAACUCUGUUAUUAGGGAAGAACAUAUGUGUAAGUAACUGUGCACAUCUUGACGGUACCUAAUCAGAAAGCCACGGCUAACUACGUG
This 497-nucleotide ribosomal RNA is filed under the name uncultured bacterium. RNAcentral describes it as "partial 16S ribosomal RNA". It matches the Rfam family "Bacterial small subunit ribosomal RNA", at positions 28 to 507 of the family's 1533-position model. The record is from RNAcentral.